Molecule: ribosomal RNA, 587 nt
Filed under: Facetotecta sp.
Lineage: Eukaryota; Metazoa; Arthropoda; Thecostraca
Description: partial large subunit ribosomal RNA
Rfam family: Eukaryotic large subunit ribosomal RNA
Source: RNAcentral
ACGCGCAAUGAAAGUGAAGGCUCGGAUUGCCGGGCCAGGGGGCGAUCUCUCUCCCAGAUGGGGUGGAGCGCAGCCCCGGGACGUGCCGUUCGCAUUGCCGUCGGCUCGUACCCAGAGCGUACACGUUGGGACCCGAAAGAUGGUGAACUAUGCCUGGCCAGGACGAAGUCAGAGGAAACUCUGAUGGAGGUCCGUAGCGAUUUUGACGUGCAAAUCAAUCGUCCGAGCUGGGUAUAGGGGCGAAAGACUAAUCGAACCAUCUAGUAGCUGGAUCCAUCCGAAGUUUCCCUCAGGAUAGCUGGCGCUCGCANGACCGAGUUUCAUCCGGUAAAGCGAAUGAUUAGAGGCCUUGGGGCCGAAACGANCUCAACCUAUUCUCAAACUUUAAAUGGGUGAGAAGUCGGGCUUGCUCGACUGAAGCACCGACCNUNGAAUCNAGAGUGCCAAGUGGGCCACUUUUGGUAAGCAGAACUGGCGCUGUGGGAUGAACCAAACGCAGAGUUAAGGUGCCCGAGAGAACGCUCAUCAGAUCCCAUGAAAGGUGUUGGUUGCUAUAGACAGCAGGACGGUGGCCAUGGAAGUCGGAA